RNAcentral lists this ribosomal RNA (213 nucleotides) under Pichia kudriavzevii. Its description in RNAcentral is "partial 28S rRNA". The record is from RNAcentral. Lineage: Eukaryota; Fungi; Ascomycota; Pichiomycetes; Pichiales; Pichiaceae.
CGCCCGACAUGGGGAUUGCGCACCGCUGCCUCUCGUGGGCGGCGCUCUGGGCUUUCCCUGGGCCAGCAUCGGUUCUUGCUGCAGGAGAAGGGGUUCUGGAACGUGGCUCUUCGGAGUGUUAUAGCCAGGGCCAGAUGCUGCGUGCGGGGACCGAGGACUGCGGCCGUGUAGGUCACGGAUGCUGGCAGAACGGCGCAACACCGCCCGUCUUGA